GCACCCGAUCCAAUAAUAAUAUAUAUAUGUGUCGGCGUGGCACCUGAUCCAAUAUUAAUAUAUAUAUGUGUUGGCGUGACACCUGAUCCAAUGAUAAUAAUAAUACACAUAACACAAACACAACCAACCAUCGCCUACCCGCCAUAAAUCCUUCCGGAAUAUCUUUACUCAUAAUCCAAUCACCCACAAUUACCUUCCAGGAUAACACCCAACCACAUCAUAAUGCCAACAAUAACAAAUCAAAUUCAUCAUCAGUCUAAAUCACAACCAACCAUACAUUUAACCAUCCAGACUCCAUGC
This 300-nucleotide long non-coding RNA is filed under the name Solanum tuberosum (potato). RNAcentral describes it as "long non-coding RNA (STUB_LNC008367)". The record is from RNAcentral. Lineage: Eukaryota; Viridiplantae; Streptophyta; Magnoliopsida; Solanales; Solanaceae.